AGUGAUGUAGCUCAGUGGUGGAGCACCUGCCUUGCAUGUAUGAAGUGCUGGGUUCAAUCCUAAGCACCAUAU
RNAcentral lists this transfer RNA (72 nucleotides) under Marmota marmota marmota (Alpine marmot). It matches the Rfam family "tRNA". Rfam says of the family: Transfer RNA (tRNA) molecules are approximately 80 nucleotides in length. Their secondary structure includes four short double-helical elements and three loops (D, anti-codon, and T loops). Further hydrogen bonds mediate the characteristic L-shaped molecular structure. tRNAs have two regions of fundamental functional importance: the anti-codon, which is responsible for specific mRNA codon recognition, and the 3' end, to which the tRNAs corresponding amino acid is attached (by aminoacyl-tRNA synthetases). tRNAs cope with the degeneracy of the genetic code in two manners: having more than one tRNA (with a specific anti-codon) for a particular amino acid; and 'wobble' base-pairing, i.e. permitting non-standard base-pairing at the 3rd anti-codon position. The record is from Rfam by way of RNAcentral. RNAcentral also lists the same sequence under 1 other name. Lineage: Eukaryota; Metazoa; Chordata; Mammalia; Rodentia; Sciuridae.